This is a long non-coding RNA of Anthonomus grandis grandis, 1292 nucleotides long. RefSeq lists it as uncharacterized. Lineage: Eukaryota; Metazoa; Arthropoda; Insecta; Coleoptera; Curculionidae. The record is from RefSeq and is a predicted model, not a curated record. The transcript has 3 exons.
UGUUUCAUAAAUGUUUUGUUUGUCAACAUGCCUCAAGAAAUAAAAGAAAAAGGGAUUCAGAAGGGAACAGUGGAUGUACAUCUACAAUUGAUAUUAAAAUUUAAAAAAAUAAUAAAGCAACACGGAAAAAUGAUCAAUUUUUAAAAGAAAACCAACCUUUGGCAGGUAUUGUUAAAAUAAAAAUUAAUCAUAACCAUGCAGUUGAUACUUUUGUAUAUCUUAAACUAUUAAGAAUAGAUGACCAAAUUCGACACCAAUACUAUGGGUGUUUUUGAAGGUGGUAGACAAUGGUACAGUGAAAACAUCUUGUCGAACUUGCAGUUUACACUUGAUAACGGUUGGAGAUACUUACCAACCGAAACGUCGUGUUACAUUAAAUAAAUAAGACAAUGCAAGUUCGACAAGAUGUUUUCAAUACUAUGGGUAUUUUGAAGGUGGACUAGGAGUUAGCGAGAGUAUUAGGCAAUUUCAAAAUAAGAAUCUUUUAAGCAUUCUUUCUACAGAUUUGCCAGAGAUGACGGCCAAUGCUAGACUAAAUCCAACGUAUAAUAUGCUGAAAAAAUGUUUAUAACAGAUGGAGAAAUGAUAAUUUUGGAUAGUGUUAAAAGAUUAAAGGAGAAAAUAACAUAUUACACCGAAAAACGUAUAACAAUUUAUACAACAGAUGAAGAUCAACAUCCUUGGGCAAUUUUGGUGGUUACGCCUAUAAUGAAGAAGUGUCAAGAACUGGUUUACUCUAGAGAAGUUAUUUUUAUAGAUACCACUUACAGUAUAGAUGCUAAUCAUUCUUCUCUAUCAUUUUGACAGCUUCUAAAGCUGGUGCUCUUCCCUUAUGUAUGCUAGGUCAUGAGGAGCAAACUGAGGAAAGUUAUACAAAAGCUUUUCUAUUACUGAAAAGCUCUAACAACAAACCUUUUGGUACAUGUGAGCAUCCAUAUAGCUUUCAUGACCGACCACUCAGCUGGAGAAAAAAAUGCAUUGAAAACGGUCUGGCCAGGGUCACGACAAUUGCUAUGCCAUUUUCAUGUUGCCCAGGCAGAAUGGCGUUGGUUAAUGUCCGCUAAAAACGGAAUUCCUGGAGAUAUAAGGCAAACUUACAUGAAGGCCUUUAAAAAAGUACAAUAUUAUAUCAUAUUUCAACUUGUCACCAAAUAAGUUUUCCUAUGACUACCAGUUUUCAUCAAAAUGGAAACUGUUUGAUUUAUUAUUAUCAUAUUGAUAAUUUUGGCCUUUUAUAAAAGUGCAAAAGAAUGAGUAAUAUCAUGAAGCAAAGUUCGAUAACAUGUGUGUAG